UGCAAAGAUAAAAACACAGCCCCGGUUGGUAGUCCGGGCGCGGACUGAUCCGUCAGUAACCUGCCUCCUUGGUUGUCCCUUCUUUGUGCA
Molecule: non-coding RNA, 90 nt
Filed under: uncultured Christensenella sp.
Lineage: Bacteria; Bacillati; Bacillota; Clostridia; Christensenellales; Christensenellaceae
Description: yjdF RNA
Rfam family: azaaromatic riboswitch aptamer (yjdF RNA)
Source: RNAcentral